RNAcentral lists this ribosomal RNA (210 nucleotides) under uncultured bacterium. RNAcentral describes it as "partial 16S ribosomal RNA". It matches the Rfam family "Bacterial small subunit ribosomal RNA", at positions 589 to 793 of the family's 1533-position model. The record is from RNAcentral.
CAGAUGUGAAAGACCCGGGGCGUCAACCUCGGAAUAGCAUUUGAAACUAGGCAGACUAGAGUACUGUAGAGGGGGGUAGGAAUUUCAGGUGUAGCGGUGAAAUGCGUAGAGAUCUGAAGGAAUACCGGUGGCGAAGGCGGCCCCCUCGGACAGAUACUGACACUCAGAUGCGAAAGCGUGGGGAGCAAACAGGAUUAGAUACCCUGGUAG